CCUACGGGUGGCAGCAGUGGGGAAUCUUGGGCAAUGGGCGCAAGCCUGACCCAGCAACGCCGCGUGAAGGAAGAAAGCUUUUGCGUUGUAAACUUCUUGUCUCAGGGACGCAGAAAGUGAAGGUACCUGAGGAAUAAGACACGGCUAACUACGUGCCAGCAGCCGCGGUAAUACGGAGGUGGCAAGCGUUAUCCGGAUUUAUGGGGUGUAAAGGGCGUGUAGGCGGGAGCGCAAGUCAGAUGUGAAAACUCAGGGCCCAACCCGGAGCCUGCAUUUGAAACUGUGUUUCUAGAGUGAUGGAGGGGCAAUCGGAAUUCCGGGUGUAGCAGUGAAAUGCGUAGAUAUACGGAGGAACACUAGUGGCGAAGGCGGAUUGCUGGACAUUAACUGACGCUGAGGCGCGAAGGCGAGGGGAGCGAACGGGAUUAGAUACCCUAGUAGUC
This 443-nucleotide ribosomal RNA is filed under the name uncultured bacterium. Its description in RNAcentral is "partial 16S ribosomal RNA". It matches the Rfam family "Bacterial small subunit ribosomal RNA", at positions 338 to 795 of the family's 1533-position model. The record is from RNAcentral.